AUGUGGUUGGUUAUACAGAGGAAGUACCUCACGACAAACAAUCUCCAGCAACGCGGGUGGCCGUCCAAUGACCACUGCCCGCUCUGGUUGAUACAUCCCGAGGACUGCACACAUUUGUUUCUGCUCUGCAGCUUCAUGCAACAACUCUGGACGGCGUUCCAGGGAUGGAUGGGCGUAUACUUCCCAACGCCGAAUAGCAGCUUCGGGUGCUCAUAGGACUAGUGGCUAGAGGCGAGAAGGGCAAUACUGAAGCAUGUGCACUGGAAUUUCGACACCAUUGUUAUUCUCAUCCGCUGGAGGAUCUGGAAGGAAUGGAACACUAGAAUUUUCCAGCAAACAGCUUGUAACAUUAACAAGGUCCUAGACCUCAUUAGAGAGGACAUAGGAGUAUGGAGGUCUGCGGGGUGUGUAGCCAACCUGGGUAGCUAA
RNAcentral lists this ribosomal RNA (429 nucleotides) under Triticum aestivum (bread wheat). Its description in RNAcentral is "partial small subunit ribosomal RNA". Lineage: Eukaryota; Viridiplantae; Streptophyta; Magnoliopsida; Poales; Poaceae. The record is from RNAcentral.